RNAcentral lists this ribosomal RNA (464 nucleotides) under uncultured bacterium. Its description in RNAcentral is "partial 16S ribosomal RNA". It matches the Rfam family "Bacterial small subunit ribosomal RNA", at positions 339 to 795 of the family's 1533-position model. The record is from RNAcentral.
CUACGGGGCGCAGCAGUGGGGAAUAUUGCACAAUGGGCGCAAGCCUGAUGCAGCAAUGCCGCGUGUGUGAAGAAGGCCUGAGGGUUGUAAAGCACUUUCAAUCGUGAAGAAAAGCACAGGGUUAAUACCCCUGUGUCUUGACGUUAUCGAUACAAGAAGCACCGGCUAACUCCGUGCCAGCAGCCGCGGUAAUACGGAGGGUGCAAGCGUUAAUCGGAAUUACUGGGCGUAAAGCGUGCGUAGGCGGUCUGUUAAGUCAGAUGUGAAAGCCCCGGGCUUAACCUGGGAACUGCAUUUGAUACUGGCAGGCUAGAAUAUGAUAGAGGGGGGUAGAAUUCCUGGUGUAGCGGUGAAAUGCGUAGAUAUCAGGAGGAAUACCAGUGGCGAAGGCGGCCCCCUGGAUCAAUAUUGACGCUGAGGUACGAAAGCGUGGGUAGCGAACAGGAUUAGAUACCCUCGUAGUC